This 205-nucleotide long non-coding RNA is filed under the name Elaeis guineensis (African oil palm). RNAcentral describes it as "long non-coding RNA (EGUI_LNC024940)". The record is from RNAcentral. Lineage: Eukaryota; Viridiplantae; Streptophyta; Magnoliopsida; Arecales; Arecaceae.
GUAAGUUCUUUGGAGUUGAGUUUAUUUGAGAGUCUCCUUGUUAUCUCUUUGUACAGAAGUUGUAUGGUAGGUUGUCUGUCGAAAUUCAGUAGAUUGUUAGGGCUUAAUUCUCUAGGCUGCUAGGUUAUAAUCUAACGACCGUUGGGAUAGAAAAUCUACUUACUAUCUUACAAAUCAAAGUUGUUAGCCAUGGAUGUCAGCCGCA